UUCCUACGGGAGGCAGCAGUGAGGAAUAUUGGUCAAUGGUCGGGAGACUGAACCAGCCAAGCCGCGUGAGGGAUGAAGGUACAGAGUAUCGUAAACCUCUUUUGUCAGGGAACAAAGGCGGGGACGUGUCCCCGGAUGAGUGUACCUGAAGAAAAAGCAUCGGCUAACUCCGUGCCAGCAGCCGCGGUAAUACGGAGGAUGCGAGCGUUAUCCGGAUUUAUUGGGUUUAAAGGGGGCGUAGACGGGAAAUUAAGUUAGUUGUGAAAUCCCUCGGCUCAAGUGAGGAACUGCAACUAAAACUGAUU
RNAcentral lists this ribosomal RNA (305 nucleotides) under uncultured bacterium. RNAcentral's name for it is "bacterial SSU rRNA". It matches the Rfam family "Bacterial small subunit ribosomal RNA", at positions 336 to 638 of the family's 1533-position model. The record is from RNAcentral.